RNAcentral lists this ribosomal RNA (232 nucleotides) under uncultured bacterium. RNAcentral's name for it is "partial 16S ribosomal RNA". It matches the Rfam family "Bacterial small subunit ribosomal RNA", at positions 15 to 236 of the family's 1533-position model. The record is from RNAcentral.
GAUCCUGGCUCAGGAUGAACGCUAGCUACAGGCUUAACACAUGCAAGUCGAGGGGAAACGACAUCGAAAGCUUGCUUUUGAUGGGCGUCGACCGGCGCACGGGUGAGUAACGCGUAUCCAACCUGCCCAUCACUUGGGAAUAACCUUGCGAAAGUAAGACUAAUGCCCAAUGAUAUCCCACGAAGGCAUCCGAAUGGGAUUAAAGAUUUAUCGCUUAGAGAUGGGCUCGCGU